AUAACCUGUGUAAAUGUGGUUUCUCGUGGCAGCCGAGGCUCAUGGGAAACUGUCCAAAUAGUAUUUAGUUAACCAUCAUUUAAAGUCAACAUUUGACGCCACCGUGACUUUUCCAUGGGCUUUUUUGCCACCGUAUAUCAUUUAUACUAGAAACUAUCACAUGUGUAUUUGUUUUAAAAAUGCCCAUGUAAUUAUAUUAAAGAUUUAAUUAAUUUCCGUGUCUAUUCCAGGUCUAGAAAUCACACGUUUAGAAGGAUACAUCCUCGUGUGGUUCUUCAAAGACCAAAACCAGUUAUUGUUGAGGAAUAUCUUGAUUAGUUUGUUUGAUUCGUCUCAUCUCAAGGCUGAUUGAAAGGCUCGUGUGGUUUGAUUAGAACAAUGCUUUUUGCUCUUCUGUUUCGGGUCUCUCGUCCCAUGAUGCCGUGCUGCUGAGAGCAGGAGAGCGGGGCAUGUUGUCACACAGGAUGGGUUUGUUCUCGAUUAGUAACCCUCGUCAAGCUCUGUAAAUAACGCUGUCUUCUGACUCAGACUGUGUUUGUAGGCCAUGUGUUUUCAGCUGAAUCACAUGCUGUUUGUUAUGGAAGCCUGUAAAAAAGUCAAAAGCUUUUUCAUGAUGCUGCAACAGCAAACGAGAGAAAUAUGACAGCAAAGAAACAAGAAGCCUGAGAGAAUCACACAAACAGGUCUCGUCUCCCAUAAUGCCGUGCCACAUGAGAGCGGGGCAUGCUGUCACACUGUUCUCAGGGCAUUUCUGCAUGUUCUUGAUCAUUUAACAGUAAACUGUAUUAUAGGCCAUUAAUGCAUUUUCUGCAACAGCUGAAUCACGUGCUGUUAUAUGGAAGUUUGUAAAAAUAAAUAAAUAAAUAA
This is a long non-coding RNA of Cyprinus carpio (common carp), 867 nucleotides long. RefSeq lists it as uncharacterized. NCBI's taxonomy places the organism in Eukaryota, Metazoa, Chordata, Actinopteri, Cypriniformes, Cyprinidae. The record is from RefSeq and is a predicted model, not a curated record. The transcript is spliced from 3 exons.